UACAGAGGGUGCGAGCGUUGUCCGGAAUUACUGGGCGUAAAGGGCGCGUAGGCGGCUUGGUAAGUAGGGGGUGAAAUCUUGCGGCUCAACUGCAAGGCUGCCUCCUAGACUGCCGGGCUUGAGCACGGUAGAGGCAGAGGGAAUUCCCGGUGUAGCGGUGGAAUGCGUAGAGAUCGGGAGGAACAUCGGUGGCGAAGGCGAUCUGCUGGGCCGGUGCUGACGCUGAGGCGCGAUAGCGUGGGGAGCAAACAGG
RNAcentral lists this ribosomal RNA (253 nucleotides) under uncultured bacterium. RNAcentral's name for it is "partial 16S ribosomal RNA". It matches the Rfam family "Bacterial small subunit ribosomal RNA", at positions 524 to 776 of the family's 1533-position model. The record is from RNAcentral.